Long non-coding RNA from Sardina pilchardus (European sardine), 212 nucleotides. RefSeq lists it as uncharacterized. Lineage: Eukaryota; Metazoa; Chordata; Actinopteri; Clupeiformes; Clupeidae. The record is from RefSeq and is a predicted model, not a curated record. The transcript has 3 exons.
UCUUCUUGCCCUCUGGUCUGGAGGACUUCUCUCUGAGGCUUAAUAGCCUGAGACAAGCGUUUGCUGUCUUGCUCGCCGAGGAGCAGUAUGCUAACUUCAUCACCGUGGCAGGGAAGAUGAUUUUGCGCACUAUGGCUGCUCUCAACGGACAGGAUGCUGGUGCAUUUCAACAGGCCUUUGACCAGCUAGUGACCUUUGUCCAGACUCCUGGU